This 433-nucleotide ribosomal RNA is filed under the name uncultured bacterium. Its description in RNAcentral is "partial 16S ribosomal RNA". It matches the Rfam family "Bacterial small subunit ribosomal RNA", at positions 29 to 507 of the family's 1533-position model. The record is from RNAcentral.
AACGAACGCUGGCGGCAUGCCUAACACAUGCAAGUCGAACGAGACCUUCGGGUCUUGUGGCGCAGGGGUGCGUAACGCGUGGGAACCUGCCCUUAGGUUAGGAAUAACUCCCCGUAAGGGGUGCUAAUAACGGAUAAUGUCUUAGGACCAAAGAUUUUUCGCUUUUGGAUGGGGCCGGGUUGGAUUGGCUAGUUGGUAGGGGAAAAGCCUACCAAGGCGACGAUGCAUGGCUGGUGUGAGAGGAUGAUUAGCCACAAUGGGACUGAGACCCGGCCCAGACUCCGACGGGAGGCUGCAGUGUGUAGUAUUGUACAAUGGGCGAAAACCUAAUCCAGCAAUGCCGCGUGAGUGAUGAAGGCCUUAGUAUUGUAAAUCUCUUUUACCCGGGAUGAUAAUGACAGUACCGGGAGAAUAAGCUCCGGCUAACUCCGUG